RNAcentral lists this ribosomal RNA (553 nucleotides) under uncultured Cryptococcus. Its description in RNAcentral is "eukaryotic LSU rRNA". The stretch from base 177 to 330 matches the Rfam family "5.8S ribosomal RNA". Lineage: Eukaryota; Fungi; Basidiomycota; Tremellomycetes. The record is from RNAcentral.
CUUGGUCAUUUAGAGGAAGUAAAAGUCGUAACAAGGUUUCCGUAGGUGAACCUGCGGAAGGAUCAUUAGUGAACGCCCUCACGGGCUUAUAACUAUUCCAAGCCUCUGUGAACCGUGCCCUUCGGGGCUAUUUUACAAACAUGGUGUAAUGAACGUCAUAUAUCAUAACAAAACAAAACUUUCAACAACGGAUCUCUUGGCUCUCGCAUCGAUGAAGAACGCAGCGAAAUGCGAUAAGUAAUGUGAAUUGCAGAAUUCAGUGAAUCAUCGAAUCUUUGAACGCACCUUGCGCCCUCUGGUAUUCCGGAGGGCAUGCCUGUUUGAGUGUCAUGUAGACUCAAUCCCUCGGGUUUCCGAGGAGAUUGGACUUGGGUGCUGCCGCUCUGCCGGCUCGCCUUAAAAGACUUAGCGGGAUAGCACCGUAGUCGGCGUAAUAAGUUUCGUCGGUGAAGGUUGUGAUGACUGCUUACAAUCGCCCUCGGGCAAUUUUUGACUCUGACCUCAAAUCAGGUAGGACUACCCGCUGAACUUAAGCAUAUCAAUAAGCGGAGGA